GCCACCUGCUUCAGACGCCCCAUGGGCUGGCGACUCUUCUGGUCUUUAGUGCUGACACCCACAGGCCUGGCUCACAGUGGGUGCUGGGUCAGGGCUGGUGGAGAACAAUAGUGCUGAGCCAGGACCCGCCCAUGUGUUAGAGAAAGGCAGCAGCUUGGAAACCUGUAGGUGGGUCUUCCAUCCACUAAGUCACCAAGAACUAGGAGCCUGCAGCCAGUUGAGAGGAUUCUUGAGGUGCUCUGCCCCCAGCUGGGGCCCUGAGCCCCCACGAGCCUUCCGCCUGGGGCAUCUGAUGACUCACGUGCACCACAGCACAGCAGCCCAGUGGGCUGGGAGUUGGGAGCUGGAAGAUGAAAGCCACCCACUCUUAUCUGCCUCCGAGGAGUCGCAAUCAAGAGGGAGGAUGCCCCCAUAAGAAAUGCAGAUUCUGUGACCUUCAGAGGCAGCUGGAGAAAGAAAAGAUGGAGGAGAUCACGGCCCAGCAAUUCCAGCCUGGGGCGGGCGCGGGCUCAAUGAUAUCCUUCAGGUCCUAAUCCCCGAGUGUGGCUGUGUGUGACCCGAGUCCCUUCUGCCUGCCAGGAGUGAGGCCACCUGAGGUCGCAGAAAGGACUGGGGAGGAGACAGGCGCAGGGUGAUCCGGAUCCCAUAUUUAAUUGAUGGUAAGGAGGCCUCCUCACUUCUCCCUGAGCCUGACAAACAUGGCUAACCUCCUUUGGAGAAAGUUCUGUGAAUAAUGUGUCUGCCGCAGGCUGGCGAAGUACAGUGUUCUCCAGAAAUCCAGUGGUCUGCACCAUCAGUGUCCUGGGCUCGCUGCCUCUGGAGACUCCCACGCCCCCAGCCAAAGCCGGAACCCUCCCCUGAAGCCUCUGCCAUGGCCUGUCCUGCCUUGGGGAGGUGGAGACCCUCGGCGUGCUGGUGUCCCACCUCACUGUGCCUCUCAGCUUCUUUGUUUCUGCCCAAAAUACAGGCUCCUGAGUAGCCUCCUGUGGGUGUCCUGGGACUGUCACCUGCCCUCUUUCAGCCAGGUGGGCUCAAACGUCAGGGGCACCAUCUCUGGUCCAGAUUGGGGUCUCUCUCGGUUCAUUUAUCCAGGAUCUUUUGGCAAAAAGAGAAAGACCAAGGAUUAUCCCCUUUCAGGAGAGCUCAGCCUGCUUUUUCGGGCUCUUCAAGGCCCAUCCAUUCAUGCACGGAGAAAUAACACGAAUGCUGGUGUGGAAAUGAUGCCCGGAUACCUUUCCAAAGGCUCCAUAGCCCACUCUUCCAGUAUCCAUCCUGGUCAUGCAGGCGCUGACCCACAUGUUUCUGGAUUAGGAAGGAAAGCAAAGGCCAGGAGGCGGAGGCUGACCCCUUUAUCUUCUGAUAAACCCGAGAGCAGAACAGCCUCAACAAGGACGAUUACAGCAGGGAAAUGGCAUUCCUGGCCAGUGGACAAGCACCUCCUUUAACCUACAGCUCAGAGCCUCACUUUGACUUGCCUCCUGUGGGGUGCUGGUCAGUAGGGGCUGAAUUCUGGGGUGCUAGGCAUCCCUCCACCAUGCAGGCCCCACAAAAGCAGCCGAGGAGGGAGAGUGCUAGGAAGCAGACAGCCACACAGACCACUGGGCUCCAUCAGGCCUCUCACUGCAGGAAGCACAGGCCAGCAAGGCCAGAGUUAAUUUCUCAGAAUAAUUGCUAAUAAUACAAAUCAACCUUUCUGGGCACUGAGUACACACCAGGCCCUGUGCUAAGCGCUUCUAACCUAAGCGUCACCUCAUUGCCUGCUAAUACCCUCUCUAGGAAAUAGGGACUACUAUAAGUCCUGCCCACAGACAUGAAAACCACAGCUGUGGGUUGACCCUCUCUGCGUCUGUAUCUAAUACUGCACCUGUUUUCUAUGAAAUCAGGACAAUAUGAUUCAUAGGGCAAAAUGAUUAUUUGUUACACAUGGAGAAAAACAAAAGCUCAAAGUAUGUUUUCUGAAGGAGAAACAAAAUCCAGACAUUUUCCAAGCUUCAAGUGUGAAUAUACUUACAU
RNAcentral lists this long non-coding RNA (2013 nucleotides) under Homo sapiens (human). Its description in RNAcentral is "novel transcript, antisense to PTPRE". Lineage: Eukaryota; Metazoa; Chordata; Mammalia; Primates; Hominidae. The record is from RNAcentral.